ACCGUGCAAAGGUAGCAUAAUCAUUUGCCUUAUAAUUGAAGGCUAGUAUGAAUGGUUUGACGAGAAUUAAGCUGUCUCUUUUCAACUAAUUAUAACUUUAUUAACAGGUGAAGAAGCCUGUGUUUUAUUGAAAGACAAGAAGACCCUAUCGAGCUUUAAGAAAUUUAAUAGACUUAUCAUAUAUUUAUACAGAUGUAAGGCUAUUAAGAACUUUGGUUGGGGCGACUGAGGAACAUAAAAAGCUUCCUUUAUAAUUUAAGAACUUACAAGUAUUGAUCCAAUAAAUUUGAUUAAAGGAAUUAGUUACCGUAGGGAUAACAGCAUAAUCUUCUUUGAGAGUUCUUAUCGAAAAGAGGGUUUGUGACCUCGAUGUUGGACCAGAAUACCCAGAAGAUGCAGCCGUCUUCAAUGGUUGGUCUGUUCGACCAUUAAA
Molecule: ribosomal RNA, 433 nt
Filed under: Drupella rugosa
Lineage: Eukaryota; Metazoa; Mollusca; Gastropoda; Neogastropoda; Muricidae
Description: partial small subunit ribosomal RNA
Rfam family: Bacterial large subunit ribosomal RNA
Source: RNAcentral